GUCGCAGUAACUUAAGUAAAGUAACCUUCAGUCUGCUCACUACAAUCCUCAACUUCUUCGAGCAGACGAAAGGCGAUGCAGGUUCGAAUCCUGCCUGCGGCG
This 102-nucleotide transfer RNA is filed under the name Candidatus Obscuribacterales bacterium. RNAcentral's name for it is "tRNA-OTHER". It matches the Rfam family "tRNA". From Rfam's summary of the family: Transfer RNA (tRNA) molecules are approximately 80 nucleotides in length. Their secondary structure includes four short double-helical elements and three loops (D, anti-codon, and T loops). Lineage: Bacteria; Bacillati; Candidatus Melainabacteria; Candidatus Obscuribacterales. RNAcentral also lists the same sequence under 2 other names. The record is from RNAcentral.